RNAcentral lists this ribosomal RNA (423 nucleotides) under Flavobacterium sp. RNAcentral describes it as "bacterial SSU rRNA". It matches the Rfam family "Bacterial small subunit ribosomal RNA", at positions 412 to 832 of the family's 1533-position model. Lineage: Bacteria; Pseudomonadati; Bacteroidota; Flavobacteriia; Flavobacteriales; Flavobacteriaceae. The record is from RNAcentral.
CGGUCCUAUGGAUUGUAAACUGCUUUUAUACGAGAAGAAACACUGCUUCGUGAAGCAGCUUGACGGUAUCGUAAGAAUAAGGAUCGGCUAACUCCGUGCCAGCAGCCGCGGUAAUACGGAGGAUCCAAGCGUUAUCCGGAAUCAUUGGGUUUAAAGGGUCCGUAGGCGGUUUAAUAAGUCAGUGGUGAAAGCCCAUCGCUCAACGGUGGAACGGCCAUUGAUACUGUUAAACUUGAAUUAUUAGGAAGUAACUAGAAUAUGUAGUGUAGCGGUGAAAUGCUUAGAGAUUACAUGGAAUACCAAUUGCGAAGGCAGGUUACUACUAAUGGAUUGACGCUGAUGGACGAAAGCGUGGGUAGCGAACAGGAUUAGAUACCCUGGUAGUCCACGCCGUAAACGAUGGAUACUAGCUGUUGGAAGCAA